UCCCUGGUGGUCUAGUGGUUAGGACUCUGCACUCUCACUGCCGUGGUCUGGGUUCAAUCCCUGGCCCGGGAA
Non-coding RNA from Lipotes vexillifer (Yangtze River dolphin), 72 nucleotides. NCBI's taxonomy places the organism in Eukaryota, Metazoa, Chordata, Mammalia, Artiodactyla, Lipotidae. The record is from the annotation of a RefSeq genome assembly.